AUCUUAGUUUUAAUUAGGGUGUACGGCUCUAAUUCCAAUGCAAGGUCUACCUAGGAACCAUAAACAAACCAAAAUUUAGGUAUCGUUCUAGUCUGGCUCUUAGUAGUUUCGAUUCCAGUCCGAUAUGUGUUCAAUUCUUGAAAUAAUUUUAUAUAAAUAAAAAUUCAUACUUCAAUUAGCAUUUAAGUUUUAAAAUAGGCUAUCAAUACAUACUCUAUUAUAUAAUAUAUCUUUUAGCUUUUCUAAAUUAUAUAAUAUUUAAUUAUAAGUUGCGUAUAUAGUUUAGGAUUAAGUAUAUUAUAUAA
Molecule: unclassified non-coding RNA, 305 nt
Filed under: Hevea brasiliensis (rubber tree)
Lineage: Eukaryota; Viridiplantae; Streptophyta; Magnoliopsida; Malpighiales; Euphorbiaceae
Source: RNAcentral